Non-coding RNA from Macaca mulatta (Rhesus monkey), 392 nucleotides. The record is from RefSeq and is a predicted model, not a curated record. Lineage: Eukaryota; Metazoa; Chordata; Mammalia; Primates; Cercopithecidae.
UGAAUGAACUUACAAUAAUUGGAAAUAAUUAGAAGAAAACGCCUUCUUGGCUGUCUUUCAGGAUGGUCAGAAGAACGAUCAUGGGGGAAGAAAAAUAAUGUGUUCAAUAUCUCACAGCAGGCUCACCGGAUCCUGCAAGCACAGGCAAAACCCAUUUAAAGAUGGAGCUUGGGCCGGGCGCGGUGGCUCACGCCUGUAGUCCCAGCACUUCUGGAGGCUGAGGGGAGGACACCUUUCCUUAGCUGAAGGAUCCAGUUUCCACUAUUCACUCCCUCUCCUUGACCCCAACAAGGAAGAAUGCUAUUCUUCUUGGAAAGGGCCCUUCCAGGGAUCUCCCAGCACAGUUGAAUUUAGCAACAUUAAGCUUGGCAGAUAAACGAGACAUCUUUCAU